Non-coding RNA from Caenorhabditis elegans, 21 nucleotides. NCBI's taxonomy places the organism in Eukaryota, Metazoa, Nematoda, Chromadorea, Rhabditida, Rhabditidae. The record is from Ensembl.
UGAUUUAUGAUUUUUGGGUGU